This 245-nucleotide long non-coding RNA is filed under the name Mytilus galloprovincialis (Mediterranean mussel). The record is from RNAcentral. Lineage: Eukaryota; Metazoa; Mollusca; Bivalvia; Mytilida; Mytilidae.
AUGAUCAUAUUUUCCUUGUGAUGUUUUAUAUCAAAAUUGUCAAUUUGUUGAUAUAAAUAUACUAGUAGCACUUUACUCAUUUUAGUAAUGUUAGUUAGUACUCUUAUCAUAUCUGAUUUAGUGAUGUAAAUGAAAAUUGCGGUAUGAUCCAGACUCAACAUAUUGCACUACAAUAAUAAAAAAAAAUCUGCCCUAUGGUUGUCUGAUCUUGAAGCGGUUGGCAGGCUUUCAAACUAACAGGAGAC